Molecule: ribosomal RNA, 190 nt
Filed under: uncultured bacterium
Lineage: Bacteria
Description: partial 16S ribosomal RNA
Rfam family: Bacterial small subunit ribosomal RNA
Source: RNAcentral
CCUACGGGAGGCAGCAGUGAGGAAUAUUGGACAAUGGGGGCAACCCUGAUCCAGCCAUGCCGCGUGCAGGAAGACGGCCCUAUGGGUUGUAAACUGCUUUUACCGGGGAAGAAACCCGCCGACGCGUUCGGCGGCUGACGGUACCCGGCGAAUAAGCACCGGCUAACUCCGUGCCAGCAGCCGCGGUAAU